Molecule: ribosomal RNA, 255 nt
Filed under: uncultured bacterium
Lineage: Bacteria
Description: partial 16S ribosomal RNA
Rfam family: Bacterial small subunit ribosomal RNA
Source: RNAcentral
UACGUAGGCAGCAAGCGUUGUUCGGAGUUACUGGGCGUAAAGGGUGUGUAGGCGGUUGUUUAAGUUUGGUGUGAAAUCUCCCCGGCUCAACCGGGAGGGUGCGCCGAAUACUGAGUGACUAGAGUGCGGGAGAGGAAAGUGGAAUUCCUGGUGUAGCGGUGAAAUGCGUAGAUACUCAGGAGGAACACCGGUGGUGUAGACGGCUUUCUGGACCGUAACUGACGCUGAGACACGAAAGCGUGGGUAGCAAACAGG